Molecule: ribosomal RNA, 450 nt
Filed under: uncultured organism
Description: partial 16S ribosomal RNA
Rfam family: Bacterial small subunit ribosomal RNA
Source: RNAcentral
ACUCCUACGGGAGGCAGCAGUGGGGAAUAUUGGACAGUGGGCGCAAGCCUGAUCCAGCCAUGCCGCGUGAAUGAUGAAGGCCCUAGGGUUGUAAAGCUCUUUCACCGGUGAAGAUAAUGACGGUAACCGGAGAAGAAGCCCCGGCUAACUUCGUGCCAGCAGCCGCGGUAAUACGAAGGGGGCUAGCGUUGUUCGGAUUUACUGGGCGUAAAGCGCACGUAGGCGGACUAUUAAGUCAGGGGUGAAAUCCCGGGGCUCAACCCCGGAACUGCCUUUGAUACUGGUAGUCUUGAGUUCGAGAGAGGUGAGUGGAAUUCCGAGUGUAGAGGUGAAAUUCGUAGAUAUUCGGAGGAACACCAGUGGCGAAGGCGGCUCACUGGCUCGAUACUGACGCUGAGGUGCGAAAGCGUGGGGAGCAAACAGGAUUAGAAACCCCGGUAGUCCCAUGAU